Molecule: ribosomal RNA, 402 nt
Filed under: uncultured Hyphomicrobiales bacterium
Lineage: Bacteria; Pseudomonadati; Pseudomonadota; Alphaproteobacteria; Hyphomicrobiales
Description: uncultured Rhizobiales bacterium partial 16S ribosomal RNA
Rfam family: Bacterial small subunit ribosomal RNA
Source: RNAcentral
UGGGGAAUAUUGGACAAUGGGCGCAAGCCUGAUCCAGCCAUGCCGCGUGAGUGAUGAAGGCCCUAGGGUUGUAAAGCUCUUUUGUCCGGGAAGAUAAUGACUGUACCGGAAGAAUAAGCCCCGGCUAACUUCGUGCCAGCAGCCGCGGUAAUACGAAGGGGGCUAGCGUUGCUCGGAAUCACUGGGCGUAAAGGGCGCGUAGGCGGAUCUUUAAGUCGGGGGUGAAAGCCCAGGGCUCAACCCUGGAAUUGCCUUCGAUACUGAAGAUCUCGAGACCGGAAGAGGUAAGUGGAACUGCGAGUGUAGAGGUGAAAUUCGUAGAUAUUCGCAAGAACACCAGUGGCGAAGGCGGCUUACUGGUCCGGUUCUGACGCUGAGGCGCGAAAGCGUGGGGAGCAAACA